CUUCGACCUCAUCUCCCUCAACAAUUUCGGAGAAUUUGGAUCAAAGCAUCCCAACGUUGCAACUCAACGGCCAACUCCGGAUGGCGGCGAAGGAUCCUUCGAAAAAGAUUGAACCCGGCCGUGAAGGAAAUCUCAACGUGUUCGUCCAUAUUCAACUACAUCUCCUCCGAUGCCUUGUACUCACUGACGCGUUACUCAUAACCUCCUGCCUCAACUGUGUCACUCAGCCUUAAGCUCGGCGAUCUCUCCUUCACUCCCGGAGUGACUUUUAUUAGGAAUAUCUAGCCAUUUCUUUCCUCCCCCUCCCAACCUUCCCAUAAAAUAGCAUCAAGUAGAGGGCCUAGAGGCUGCCACUACUAGAAAGUUUACUAUUAGAGGCGAAAGUAGGGGCAUUUGAUAAAAAUUGCCUUGUAAAAUAGCAAUUACGACUGUUCGAAUGAUAUUGUGUAGAGGCACUUUAGCCCCUCUAUUGUAAUUUAUGCUAUUAAAGGUAUUUUUGGUAUUCAAUACUUCAAUUUUUUCUUCCUUAUAACACCCAAAUGCAAAUUACGACACUCAUGACUUGCUUUCUACCUUUCUCCUCCAUUCACAGUAUCGAAUGAAUCAAAGAACCAUCGAUUUCUCCAGGGUUUUAGUUUUUUAUUUCUAAUCUCUUCUCUUCUUUCUCCAAAUAAUCAUCUUCACCUCCUCCAUCUAUAUCUAGAGCAGAUCAGAAGAACGACAGUAGCUAAGAACAGACUUCACAUCUUGGAUCCACAGACUACACACAUCUCUUUCGAUGCACAAUUCCGAGAAUCUUCGUGAGUUCCUAUGAUUCUCCUUCCUCCCUGUUCCUUUAGUUUCCUUCUUCUCUAUUAUCAAAAUUUCCAAAGUGGCCAUGCCGGCGCUGGGUAUGGAGAACCGACCUUCUAUAGGACUUCGGCUAUUGGGACUCUGUCUUGGAACCUGAUCCAAACUCGGUGUCAACCAAAGCAGAACUACAAAAUUGGAGUAACAGUGAAUGUCUAUCAGAAGGUCUCUUGCCUAAGCAUUGUGCCUUGUCACUUGUUGGUGAACCAAUCAUCUACCCAGAGAUAAACAUUCUUGGAGAUGAACUUCACAGGAGAUGGAUUUCUACCUUGUAACAAAUGCUCAGUUUCUUGAGAGGAUUAGGAUGUUGAAGCCUGUCACCCAGAUGUUGCCACAAAGGACAUUAUGAAGGCAAUUGAUAGGCCACUCUUUGGGGACUUCUGGGAGCAUUUCACUGAUGUCCAAUUCCCCUUCAAGAUGAUCCUGAUGCAAUAGUUAUCCCAAAGAGAAGAAUGUCUGUAAAUAAUGAUUCUCAGUCACUCCCACUAUUUGGAGGGCAUCAAAGCUGGUCGCAAAGAGAACAAAGUUAUAAGCUGAAUUCGACCAUGAAGGUGCACUGUGGUUUUAUGCACAAUGGAGGUGCAGAGAUGGAUCCUGUAGACGUUGAGUAUGUCAAGAAAUGUAGGUUUUGUUGUUGCAUCAAGCAUUUUUGAUGGAUAUGACGCGCCCCACCAGCCUUCAAAUAUAAGCCAUCGAUCCCAAAACCUCUUCUACUUUCUUUUGGUUGUUGAUGAGAAGUCUUUCAACUUCAUUAAGAAAAAUGUCACAAUUAGAGAUGAUCAUCAAGGGGGAAGUGGGUUGGUAUUUGAUGCCUUGUUCCGCUACACCAUCCACCCUAUGAUGAGCCCCGAAGAAAUGGGAAAGUUCCUAAGAUACUAACCCAUCGGCUGUUCCCUCAAGCACAAUACAGUAUCUGGAUUGAUGGAAAAAUGAAGCUGAUAGUUGAUCCUUUGCUUAUGCUAAAAAGGUGGGUCCUAUUGAUUUGGGUGUGGAUGUUGCUCAUUUUGAGUCUAAUUGGCCAAGUUGCACUUUCU
Non-coding RNA from Nelumbo nucifera (sacred lotus), 1883 nucleotides. Lineage: Eukaryota; Viridiplantae; Streptophyta; Magnoliopsida; Proteales; Nelumbonaceae. The record is from RefSeq and is a predicted model, not a curated record.